Molecule: long non-coding RNA, 460 nt
Organism: Gallus gallus (chicken)
Lineage: Eukaryota; Metazoa; Chordata; Aves; Galliformes; Phasianidae
Exons: 3
Source: RefSeq, a predicted model, not a curated record
CAGAACCAGGAGCAGCAGCAGGAUCACCCCCUGCUCAUAUAAAACCUGCCAUUAGGGACCCUCUCCCCUGCUGUCGUUUAUCAGAGGGAAGCAAUUUAAGGGAAGAGGAAGACUGGAAACAGGUCCCACUCAGCAUCGCAGGCAACCCCCAUCCUGACCUACCUCAGUUCCCCAGGUGCCCCUUCAUAAUAGGUUUGAGGCUCUGGAACUUGAAGAAGUAAAUGAGGAUGUGUUUACUUCAGCAGCAAUGACGUCACUGACAGAAGACUGGGGAUUAUCAAAAAGGACUUCAGGACUGGGGAGGUUACUGUAAAUUGUGGCUUUUGAAAUUUUAUUCAAUAAUUACUGAAGUACACUCUGAUCCUUACGGAUUUCUCCACUUUUAACUUUAUGAUGGUGAGUAGCUUCACUUUAAUGGUUUAAAAGACAUGUACAAAUGUAAAUUUCUGCAGGACUGGGA